RNAcentral lists this transfer RNA (82 nucleotides) under Ailuropoda melanoleuca (giant panda). It matches the Rfam family "tRNA". From Rfam's summary of the family: Transfer RNA (tRNA) molecules are approximately 80 nucleotides in length. Lineage: Eukaryota; Metazoa; Chordata; Mammalia; Carnivora; Ursidae. The record is from Rfam by way of RNAcentral.
GCUCAGUUGGUUAAGCAUCCAACUUUUGAUUUCAGCUCAAGUCGUGAUCUCAGGGUUGUGGGAUCAAGCCCCGCACUGGGCU